Molecule: ribosomal RNA, 301 nt
Filed under: uncultured bacterium
Lineage: Bacteria
Description: partial 16S ribosomal RNA
Rfam family: Bacterial small subunit ribosomal RNA
Source: RNAcentral
CAGCCGCCGCGGUAAAACGAAGGGGGCUAGCGUUGUUCGGAUUUACUGGGCGUAAAGCGCACGUAGGCGGAUCGAUCAGUCAGGGGUGAAAUCCCAGAGCUCAACUCUGGAACUGCCUUUGAUACUGUCGAUCUGGAGUAUGGAAGAGGUGAGUGGAAUUCCGAGUGUAGAGGUGAAAUUCGUAGAUAUUCGGAGGAACACCAGUGGCGAAGGCGGCUCACUGGUCCAUUACUGACGCUGAGGUGCGAAAGCGUGGGGAGCAAACAGGAUUAGAUACCCCCGUAGUCCCUGUCUCUUAUAC